AAUGAACGCUGGCGGUAGGCUUAACACAUGCAAGUCGGACGGAAACGAUAGAAAAACUUGUUUUUCUAGGCGUCGAGUGGCGGACGGGUGAGUAAUGCGUGGGAAUCUACCCUAUAGUUGGGGACAACGUAUGGAAACGUACGCUAAUACCGAAUAUGCUCUACGGAGUAAAGGUGCCCUCUCCUUGGAAGGUAUCGCUAUAGGAUGAGCCCGCGUGAGAUUAGCUAGUUGGUGGGGUAAUGGCUCACCAAGGCGACGAUCUCUAGCUGGUUUGAGAGGAUGAUCAGCCACACUGGGACUGAGACACGGCCCAGACUCCUACGGGAGGCAGCAGUGGGGAAUAUUGCACAAUGAGCGAAAGCUUGAUGCAGCCAUACCGCGUGUGUGAAGAAGGCCCGAGGGUUGUAAAGCACUUUCAAUUGGGAGGAAGGUUAAGUAGUUAAUACCUGCUUAAUUUGACGUUACCUUUAGAAGAAGCACCGGCUAACUCUGU
RNAcentral lists this ribosomal RNA (493 nucleotides) under uncultured Gammaproteobacteria bacterium. RNAcentral's name for it is "bacterial SSU rRNA". It matches the Rfam family "Bacterial small subunit ribosomal RNA", at positions 29 to 506 of the family's 1533-position model. The record is from RNAcentral. Lineage: Bacteria; Pseudomonadati; Pseudomonadota; Gammaproteobacteria.